CUGACGCAGUGUCAGUUACGGAAAAUAUUGUUUCUGUACGAACCAGUAAUCAGGGCGAUCGAUGCUUAGUAUGUAAAGAAAAUAAUCUUUGGAUUUGUUUGCAUGAUAAGUGCAAACAGCGACGAGCAUCCUAUCAUGCAUCCGGCUAAUUAGCAGAAUUCUCGUGCGACCACAUAGAAAAGGCUUCAAAUCCAGUGACCCCAAUGGCAUGUUAUUCUCCACAAAGAUCAAAUGCAUCUAAAUACCCAUGCAGCGAGAAAAUUAAAGGCGAGUUAUUUUCGAUAACAGAUGAUGCUACAAAAGGCAAUUUGUUGUUUGUUUUUUUAGAAUUGGAUCAAAAAGGUGGUUGCAGGUAUUCAGAUCCUGGAAUGCUGUGAAAUGGCCCUGCUGACCUGUUGGGACAUUCUAUUGGGUGAACAUCAAAUGGUGUGUGGAGUGAAAUGAAAUUUCGAUUCAAUGUGACUGAUAGAUAGUGAUGAUUUUAGUGAAUUAUGUUAUGAUGAUGCAUGGACCGUGAUGAUGUUGGUGAAGCUUGAUUUAUAAUGUAGAUAUAAAGUGAUGAUACUGGUGAUAUAUGAGUUGUAAAAUGGUAUGAAAUAUAAGUGAUACAUAAGUCUGAACAUUCAAGCUAAAAUGAGACAUGAAUAGUAAAACUGUG
Paramuricea clavata is the source of this 658-nucleotide non-coding RNA. The record is from the annotation of a GenBank genome assembly. NCBI's taxonomy places the organism in Eukaryota, Metazoa, Cnidaria, Anthozoa, Malacalcyonacea, Plexauridae.